RNAcentral lists this ribosomal RNA (314 nucleotides) under Enchenopa ignidorsum. RNAcentral describes it as "partial 12S small subunit ribosomal RNA". The record is from RNAcentral. Lineage: Eukaryota; Metazoa; Arthropoda; Insecta; Hemiptera; Membracidae.
UCUGAAUAAAAGUAGUUAAGUUCUUCAUAACUCAAAGAAUUUGGCGGUUAAUGGAAUUUUCAGAGGGGCCUGUGUAUUAAUUGAUAAACCACGAUAGGUUUGACCUGUUUUUUAUUUGUAUAUCUCUAUGUUUCGGAAUGUUUUUUAAGAAUUAAUUUUCUUUUAGAUUAAAUCUUGAAUUUUAGGUCAAGGUGCAGUUUUAAAUAGGUUUAUAUGGGUUACUUUAAUUUUAAUUAUUUAUUUUAAGGUGCUUUGAGUAUUAUUUUAUAAUAGGAUUUGAAAGUAAUUUUAAUUUAUUAAUUUUUUUGAAUAAU